Molecule: long non-coding RNA, 353 nt
Organism: Sinocyclocheilus anshuiensis
Lineage: Eukaryota; Metazoa; Chordata; Actinopteri; Cypriniformes; Cyprinidae
Exons: 3
Source: RefSeq, a predicted model, not a curated record
CGAGGACGUGAUGAUGUCCUCACGCGGUCAGCUAGAGGACAUGAACGAGGAAUUCGAGGACACCAUGGUGAUAGAUUUGCCGGCGUCAAGAAACCGGAGAGAAAGAGCUGAACUCAGACCAGACUUUUUUGACUCUACGGCCAUAAUGGAAGAUGAUUCUGGAUUCGGAAUGCAGAUGUUUUGAGAGAGAUUUCAGCCUUUAUGGGGGAUCACAACCAGCAACCUACAAGAAUCUCAUCUUAAAUAUUUAUUUUGUGUUUUAAUAGCAGUUUCACACAACUGUACGCAAGCAUGUGAGCUUCCUCUCUUAGUUUUGUGGUCGGCCAUAAUCCCAUUGUGAGCCUUUCCUGUCA